This is a long non-coding RNA of Anneissia japonica, 616 nucleotides long. RefSeq lists it as uncharacterized. Lineage: Eukaryota; Metazoa; Echinodermata; Crinoidea; Comatulida; Comatulidae. The record is from RefSeq and is a predicted model, not a curated record. The transcript has 3 exons.
AUAUCAAUAUUUAAAAUCAACCUUUUCACGUGUUAGCUUAUUGUUCGGCUUCAUUGAGCAUGGUAUAAAAGGUGGAACUGACCAGGUUAAAACAUAUCGCCUUACAGUGCACCAAUCAAGAACAACGAAAAGAUCAUACCUCAACGAAGAUUAAACGGUUAGAACAUAUCGGCACAACAAACACACGUACAGAGAUGACAAAUAUCGGAAGGAAGCCUCUUGCAUCUCUCUGUAUGUUAUUACUUCUGAUUACAAUUUGUGAAGUACAUAUCUCAGCCGCUCAAUAUAAUGGAGCCGAUAAAAGAGAAGAUACGAAUUUUAAAGUUGUCGCGAAUGAUGAUGAUGUUAUGCUACAACGUGGGCGACGAAGUUGGGUUAAUCGUCUUCCACCACCACCAGGAGCAGAUUAAACUAAAUAUCGGAACGUUAAUAUCCAAUUAUAAAUCACUUUACUAUGUUUAUCAACAUAGUAAACAUGUGUUUUAAUUGAUUGACAGAUAAAUCAAUUGAUUGAUUGAUAUUUGAUUAAAUAACAUGGUCGUUUAUUGACUGAAUCGUUCACUUGCGGAAAGGUCUCGUCGUGUAUUAUCAAUAAAGUUAAAGGCAAUUUAACUAA